UGGGGAAUAUUGCGCAAUGGGGGCAACCCUGACGCAGCAACGCCGCGUGAAGGAUGACGGUCUUCGGAUUGUAAACUUCUUUAAGUGUGGAAGAAAUUGACGGUACACACAGAAUAAGCCACGGCUAACUACGUGCCAGCAGCCGCGGUAAUACGUAGGUGGCGAGCGUUGUCCGGAUUUACUGGGGGUAAAGGGCGUGUAGGCGGGAGAGCAAGUCAGAAGUGAAAUCUAUGGGCUUAACCCAUAAACUGCUUUUGAAACUGUUUUUCUUGAGUAUCGGAGAGGCAGGCGGAAUUCCUAGUGUAGCGGUGAAAUGCGUAGAUAUUAGGAGGAACACCAGUGGCGAAGGCGGCCUGCUGGACGACAACUGACGCUGAGGCGCGAAAGCGUGGGGAGCAAACAGGAUUAGAUACCCUGGUAGUCCCUG
Molecule: ribosomal RNA, 427 nt
Filed under: uncultured Clostridium sp.
Lineage: Bacteria; Bacillati; Bacillota; Clostridia; Eubacteriales; Clostridiaceae
Description: bacterial SSU rRNA
Rfam family: Bacterial small subunit ribosomal RNA
Source: RNAcentral